Molecule: long non-coding RNA, 1134 nt
Filed under: Felis catus (domestic cat)
Lineage: Eukaryota; Metazoa; Chordata; Mammalia; Carnivora; Felidae
Description: lncRNA (ENSFCAG00000050405.1)
Source: RNAcentral
CCGGGCAGCAGGGUGCAGCUGGGGACACCCAUCCAGUGGCCUGCUCCGUCUGCUCUGUGUCCCUUCCUGUGCUCUCCCCACCCCCCUCCUGCCCGCCCUGUCACACCUGUCCCCUUCUGGCCCCUCCUGCUCAGGGACCCCUCAGAGCUCCCCCGCCCCGUCAUCGGUUUUCCCUGUGACCAUGUCCAGCGGGCACAUUCGGGGCAUCGUCUCAUCCUUACAAGACUCUCUGGACUCCCCACCCCCUGCCGCCGUGAGACUUUACCGCUGACCUCCUGCAGGGGUGGCCCCCCUCGCUGCUCCUCUCCCCUCCUGAGCUCAGGCCCACAGCCGGCUCUACCUUUGCGGGGGGGCUUUGACAGUGGGAGCAAAUUAGCCCAAGCUUCACUGGCUCCCUCCAACCCCGGCCGUGUGGCCUCGCGGUUUCCGGGGUCCGGCGUCCAGGUAGGGCGGGGCCGCGGUCUCAUCCGAAGCUCACUCCUGGGGGUACGGAUUCGGGUCCUCGCCGAUGGGACUUCCCGCGGCUGUGCAGCGCGUGGGCCUCUCCGUGCGGCGGCUUCCGGCACAGCCUUUCCGAGUCAGCAGCCGGGCCCGCGCUGGAGGGGAGGCCACGACACAAUACGCGAAACCAGGAGGCGGGAUGCGGAAUCCGCCCAGCGCUCACCACCCACCCUCGCCGCGAUGACCCCGGUGCCCCUCCUCCCUGACCUCCCUCCUCCCCCCCUGCAGAGUGGCCAGAGGGCCUGGGACGACCUAGGUCCUGCCCCGCCACUGCUCUGUCCUCAGUCCUCCCAAUGGCCUUCUCGCUGUCGUGGACACUGCCUCCAGCUGGGACCCCCCAGCAGCUCCCGGCCGGUGACCGAGCAGAACAGCGGCGGACAGCCUGGCCGGCCAGCUGGGGAAGGGAGGACAGCCCUGCAGCACUGCUCACCCCAUGACUCCCCGGCUGCUCUUCCAGAGGCCCAGGGCUUCACUCCGCAGCCGUCCCCCGGGGAGAUGCCGUCUGCGCCGGCACGGGUGCCUGCAGAGCUGGGGCGCUGGGCCCGGAUCAUAAACCGGGUCCUGGGUAAGCUGAGCCGGUCCGCGGACCACAGUGCUCAGGACUCCGGUCCCCAAAUGAGUAAGUGCGGUUGA